UUUAUUGAACUAAGAUUAGCUUCACAAAGUAACUCAGAUGUUUUCAGGAUAAAUUAGACUCAUCCUGUCUUGACUCAUAUCACUCGUCCUAACCCAUUCACAGUGGAAAUUUGUCAGGGCAAAAAGUGCUUUGCUCUUUUAUUAUGUGUCUAUCCAACAAUAGAGUCCGUUAUCUCUGUCUUGCAAAUACAGGGAAUGAAAUAAGAAAGCACAUUAUCUUUGGAAAAUAGGACAGUAAAGGAAUGUCAGAAGUUAUAUUUGACUCUGUAUCUUAUGAGUCCCAAAUCACUUUUACUCUGCUAGACAGGGUGUGUUUCCAAUGUCUUCUCGUGUAUCUAUAUUUGUACAGAUUUAUCCUCUGUCUUUCUUCAGAGUAAAAUAAAUGUUUAUUCUAAAUGAUCAUUAUCAGAUAUGAGGGGAAAGAUAAAUUUGGUAACAUUCUAUUACUGAGAAGAAUAUUUGCAGUUUGUUUGUGAGCACGGAGAAUGAACUAGGAAAGUGUGUAUGAGAUGAUCUACCUGCUAGAGCAUCUUACGUCUACUGGUUGGUGGAGCCUCAGUGCAGAAACAAAUAUUUCAUGAUACUGAUCACUGAUAUUAGUCCUGAGUGAAACAGACAUCUGUCAGAUGGCCUUGGCUCCAAAUGCUUCCUGAGCAUUUCCGAAGGCGAGAGAAAUUGUUCCAAAUCUUCGUGCCGCACACUGACGUCCUUCACUCUUAUGGCAAAACAGAUGGAGAGUCCAAGUGACAGAAAACAAGACAGAAGCAGAAAUUUACCAUUGACCGAAGCUCCAUUAGUGAAUCAAUUUUUAAGUAAGAAGGUAUGUAAGCUACUAAAACCAGUUCAUAUCUAAGUUCUGUCUACUUACUAAUCCUUUGUGCCCUUCCUAUUGUCUUUCAAAAAUGGCUGUCCUACUGUCAAUUUGGAAAGUUUUUCAACAUAAGUUCUCUCUUACAGAAGAGGUGAAAAGCAGGUUUUAGCUUGCCCCGUGGCAAACACU
Molecule: long non-coding RNA, 1000 nt
Filed under: Coturnix japonica (Japanese quail)
Lineage: Eukaryota; Metazoa; Chordata; Aves; Galliformes; Phasianidae
Description: lncRNA (ENSCJPG00005012144.1)
Source: RNAcentral